RNAcentral lists this ribosomal RNA (252 nucleotides) under uncultured bacterium. Its description in RNAcentral is "partial 16S ribosomal RNA". It matches the Rfam family "Bacterial small subunit ribosomal RNA", at positions 524 to 776 of the family's 1533-position model. The record is from RNAcentral.
UACGUAGGGGGCUAGCGUUAUCCGGAAUUACUGGGCGUAAAGGGUGCGUAGGUGGUUUCUUAAGUCAGAGGUGAAAGGCUACGGCUCAACCGUAGUAAGCCUUUGAAACUGGGGAACUUGAGUGCAGGAGAGGAGAGUGGAAUUCCUAGUGUAGCGGUGAAAUGCGUAGAUAUUAGGAGGAACACCAGUUGCGAAGGCGGCUUCCUGGUCUGCAACUGACACUGAGGCGCGAAAGCGUGGGGAGCAAACAGG